This 435-nucleotide ribosomal RNA is filed under the name uncultured Corynebacterium sp. RNAcentral's name for it is "bacterial SSU rRNA". It matches the Rfam family "Bacterial small subunit ribosomal RNA", at positions 946 to 1382 of the family's 1533-position model. The record is from RNAcentral. Lineage: Bacteria; Bacillati; Actinomycetota; Actinomycetes; Mycobacteriales; Corynebacteriaceae.
UUAAUUCGAUGCAACGCGAGAACUUACCUGGCUUGACAUACACCGGAUCGGGCUAGAGAUAGUCUUUCCCUUGUGGCUGGUGUACAGGUGGUGCAUGGUUGUCGUCAGCUCGUGUCGUGAGAUGUUGGGUUAAGUCCCGCAACGAGCGCAACCCUUGUCUUAUGUUGCCAGCACGUGAUGGUGGGGACUCAUGAGAGACUGCCGGGGUUAACUCGGAGGAAGGUGGGGAUGACGUCAAAUCAUCAUGCCCCUUAUGUCCAGGGCUUCACACAUGCUACAAUGGUCGGUACAACGCGUGUGCGACACUGUGAGGUGAAGCUAAUCGCUCUAAAGCCGGUCGUAGUUCGGAUUGGGGUCUGCAACUCGACCCCAUGAAGUCGGAGUCGCUAGUAAUCGCAGAUCAGCAACGCUGCGGUGAAUACGUUCCCGGGCCUU